Molecule: RNA transcript, 1109 nt
Organism: Capsicum annuum
Lineage: Eukaryota; Viridiplantae; Streptophyta; Magnoliopsida; Solanales; Solanaceae
Exons: 9
Source: RefSeq, a predicted model, not a curated record
UCCCGUAGAUCAGCUUUAUAAACUACUUGUGUUUAGGAAUCCCUACUUUGUAAGCAGCUAUACCCGGAAGAAAUCCUCUUACCAUUGAUAGACAGUAGUGUUGAGAUGAUUAAAGGAGGCAAAAAAUCAUCCGUGCUAACACUUGCUGAAAAAUGCAAGAAUAUAUUGGCAUCUAAUUGGCAAGGUUACCUUAAUACUGUCAAGGCUGAUGUUAAAGGAAGCAAAGAGGUAAUAUACACUUCAAAAGUCGGCUAUUUAGUCAAGAGAGGCAAGCCCUACAUCUGGCUACCUGAAAAUGAUAUGCACAAUGUGAACACAUUGAUAGAUGAUCGUGGUUCUUUUGCUGUGACCAGUCCCUUCCCAGGACCACUGGCAAAUUGUCUCAAGUCAGUCAACAAACUACCAGAUCGGGUUGCUUUCGUGGGUGAAGUUCUGCCUCUUAAAGAUGAAAAGGCUAGGUUGCCUGAAGAGAGCCUCAAGGAAGUCAUAUCAUCUGAAAGGAGCAUGACAGAUAAGUUCUGUUACUCCGUUUUGGGUAUACUGAGUUCAUCAAGCGUUGGUGCUACAUGCCGAGCUGACAAUCUCCAGGAAUUACUUGAUUCAGACGAAAGAUAUAAUGUCCUCAAGUUCAGCCCAAGUUCGUGCAUGUAUAUUGAUAACAAUGGAGGGGCUCAUGAAGUAGAUCUAAAGGAAGUCCAAGCAACAAAACUUGAUCCUCUUUCAUCACAUACCGUGAGCCUGAUUGAUGGAAUUAAUCAAAGUGAGGCGAGGCGUAGAGCUCUAAUUCUCUUCUUCAUCACGCACUUGAAUAAGAACACAAAGGUGAUUUCUGGUAGUCACUGAUAGCUCGGGUAAAAUGUAUUUGUCUUCUCUGAGUUCUCAUGCCCAAUAUCUGGACGCAUAUCUUCUUUCUAUAGAUCGGAAAGGACUUGAUGUACUGGGAAAAGUUUUAGGUCCAAUAAGGAGCGAUGGUUCUCGUGAAUAUCAGUGGAGGAAGUUCAGAAUUGAAUUCAUAGAAGAGGCUCACACAGUUGAAACAUUCUGCAGUCAGCUUGUUGAAAUGGAGGAGGAAUCACUUAAGAAUAUCUCCAACUUUAGUGGUAUAUAAA